UCGGGAAUUUUGCUCAAUGGGCGAAAGCCUGAAGCAGCAACGCCGCGUGAGGGAUGAAGGCCUUCGGGUUGUAAACCUCUUUUCUCAGGGAAGAAUAAUGACGGUACCUGGGGAAUAAGCCUCGGCUAACUACGUG
This 136-nucleotide ribosomal RNA is filed under the name uncultured bacterium. RNAcentral describes it as "partial 16S ribosomal RNA". It matches the Rfam family "Bacterial small subunit ribosomal RNA", at positions 355 to 507 of the family's 1533-position model. The record is from RNAcentral.